This 308-nucleotide long non-coding RNA is filed under the name Nicotiana benthamiana. Its description in RNAcentral is "long non-coding RNA (NBEN_LNC020362)". Lineage: Eukaryota; Viridiplantae; Streptophyta; Magnoliopsida; Solanales; Solanaceae. The record is from RNAcentral.
AAUAAUAAAAAGAACCAAGUGACAAUUCGCUGAAAGAACUGUAUUUGCCGGAAACAUUACUGUAGUUGUCGGAAAAAUCACUUUAGAUGCCGGAAAAAAUUCAAAGUGGUCGGAACUGAAAAGUAAAAAUAUGGGUAGGCUCGGAAAAGUGAGGCGAUCCAACUGUUCUCAAGAAAUUUUUCCAAAAAGUGGCCGGAAAGAGGCUCACGCGCCGGCGCGUGGGGGUCACGCGCUCGCCGGAAAAUUUGUUCUGCCGGCGCGUGUGGGUGCGUGGCAGCUUGUCUGCCGGAGAUAUUUUACAGGGUUGG